RNAcentral lists this ribosomal RNA (102 nucleotides) under Sulcaria sp. Hur 040056. RNAcentral describes it as "partial 28S ribosomal RNA". It matches the Rfam family "Eukaryotic large subunit ribosomal RNA", at positions 1 to 99 of the family's 3401-position model. Lineage: Eukaryota; Fungi; Ascomycota; Lecanoromycetes; Lecanorales; Parmeliaceae. The record is from RNAcentral.
AAUUGACCUCGGAUCAGGUAGGGAUACCCGCUGAACUUAAGCAUAUCAAUAAGCGGAGGAAAAGAAACCAACAGGGAUUGCCUCAGUAACGGCGAGUGAAGC